This 252-nucleotide ribosomal RNA is filed under the name uncultured Bacteroidales bacterium. Its description in RNAcentral is "partial 16S ribosomal RNA". It matches the Rfam family "Bacterial small subunit ribosomal RNA", at positions 524 to 776 of the family's 1533-position model. Lineage: Bacteria; Pseudomonadati; Bacteroidota; Bacteroidia; Bacteroidales. The record is from RNAcentral.
UACGGAAGGUCCGGGCGUUAUCCGGAUUUAUUGGGUUUAAAGGGUGCGCAGGCGGAAUGUCAAGUCAGCGGUAAAAUUUCGGGGCUCAACGCCGUCGAGCCGUUGAAACUGGCGUUCUUGAGUGGGCGAGAAGUAUGCGGAAUGCGUGGUGUAGCGGUGAAAUGCAUAGAUAUCACGCAGAACUCCGAUUGCGAAGGCAGCAUACCGGCGCCCUACUGACGCUGAGGCACGAAAGCGUGGGUAUCGAACAGG